Molecule: ribosomal RNA, 500 nt
Filed under: uncultured bacterium
Lineage: Bacteria
Description: partial 16S ribosomal RNA
Rfam family: Bacterial small subunit ribosomal RNA
Source: RNAcentral
UGGGGAAUUUUGGACAAUGGGCGCAAGCCUGAUCCAGCAAUGCCGCGUGCAGGAUGAAGGCCUUCGGGUUGUAAACUGCUUUUGUACGGAACGAAAAGCCUCUCUCUAAUACAGGGGGGUGAUGACGGUACCGUAAGAAUAAGCACCGGCUAACUACGUGCCAGCAGCCGCGGUAAUACGUAGGGUGCAAGCGUUAAUCGGAAUUACUGGGCGUAAAGCGUGCGCAGGCGGUUUUGUAAGACAGUGGUGAAAUCCCCGGGCUCAACCUGGGAACUGCCAUUGUGACUGCAAGGCUGGAGUGCGGCAGAGGGGGAUGGAAUUCCGCGUGUAGCAGUGAAAUGCGUAGAUAUGCGGAGAAACACCGAUGGCGAAGGCAAUCCCCUGGGCCUGCACUGACGCUCAUGCACGAAAGCGUGGGGAGCAAAACAGGAUUAGAUACCCUGGUAGUCACGCCCUAAACGAUGUCAACUGGUUGUUGGGGAUUUAUUUCUUCAGUAACG